CCCUUAGAUGUCCUGGGCCGCACGCGCGUUACACUGAUGCAUUCAACGAGCUUAUAACCUUGGCCGAGAGGCCUGGGCAAUCUUGUUAACGUGCAUCGUGAUAGGGAUAGAUUAUUGAAAUUAUUAAUCUUAAACGAGGAAUUCCUAGUAAACGCAGAUCAUCAAUCUGCAUUGAUUACGUCCCUGCCCUUUGUACACACCGCCCGUCGCACCUACCGAUUGGAUGGUCCGGUGAAGCCUCGGGAUUGUGGUUCUUGCCGCUUUAUUGUGGCGUGACCGCGAGAACUUGUCUAAACCUUAUCAUCUAGAGGAAGGUGAAGUCGUAACA
RNAcentral lists this ribosomal RNA (328 nucleotides) under uncultured eukaryote. RNAcentral describes it as "partial 18S ribosomal RNA". It matches the Rfam family "Eukaryotic small subunit ribosomal RNA", at positions 1470 to 1796 of the family's 1831-position model. The record is from RNAcentral.